Molecule: ribosomal RNA, 254 nt
Filed under: uncultured bacterium
Lineage: Bacteria
Description: partial 16S ribosomal RNA
Rfam family: Bacterial small subunit ribosomal RNA
Source: RNAcentral
UACGUAGGUCACGAGCGUUAUCCGGAAUUAUUGGGCGUAAAGGGUCUCUAGGUGGUAAAGCGGGUUUUCGGUAAAAGUCCCAAGCUCAACUUGGGUUUCGCCGAAAAAACUACUUUGCUUUGAGGGUAGCAGGGGUAUGCGGAAUUCUCGGUGUAGCAGUGAAAUGCGUUGAUAUCGAGAAGAACACCAAUGGCGCAGGCAGCAUACUAGGCUACACCUGACACUGAAGGACGAAAGCGUGGGGAGCGAACGGG